This 570-nucleotide ribosomal RNA is filed under the name Providencia rettgeri. RNAcentral's name for it is "partial 23S ribosomal RNA". It matches the Rfam family "Bacterial large subunit ribosomal RNA", at positions 678 to 1244 of the family's 2925-position model. Lineage: Bacteria; Pseudomonadati; Pseudomonadota; Gammaproteobacteria; Enterobacterales; Morganellaceae. The record is from RNAcentral.
CGAGUCUUAACUGGGCGAAUGAGUUGCAGGGUAUAGACCCGAAACCCGGUGAUCUAGCCAUGGGCAGGUUGAAGGUUGGGUAACACUAACUGGAGGACCGAACCGACUAAUGUUGAAAAAUUAGCGGAUGACUUGUGGCUGGGGGUGAAAGGCCAAUCAAACCGGGAGAUAGCUGGUUCUCCCCGAAAGCUAUUUAGGUAGCGCCUCGUGAACUCAUCUUCGGGGGUAGAGCACUGUUUCGACUAGGGGGUCAUCCCGACUUACCAACUCGAUGCAAACUACGAAUACCGAAGAAUGUUAUCACGGGAGACACACGGCGGGUGCUAACGUUCGUCGUGAAGAGGGAAACAACCCAGACCGCCAGCUAAGGUCCCAAAGUCAUAGUUAAGUGGGAAACGAAGUGGGAAGGCUCAGACAGCCAGGAUGUUGGCUUAGAAGCAGCCAUCAUUUAAAGAAAGCGUAAUAGCUCACUGGUCGAGUCGGCCUGCGCGGAAGAUGUAACGGGGCUAAACUAUGCACCGAAGCUGCGGCAGCGAUAUGUAAAUAUUGUUGGGUAGGGGAGCGUUCUGU